UACGGAGGGUGCAAACGUUGCUCGGAAUCAUUGGGCGUAAAGCGCACGUAGGCGGCUUGGCAAGUCGGAUGUGAAAUCCCUCGGCUCAACCAAGGAAGUGCAUCCGAAACUGCUGAGCUUGAGUACUUAAGAGGAUCGCGGAAUUCCCGGUGUAGAGGUGAAAUUCGUAGAUAUCGGGAGGAACACCAGUGGCGAAGGCGGCGAUCUGGGAAGAUACUGACGCUGAGGUGCGAAAGCGUGGGAGCAAACAGG
Molecule: ribosomal RNA, 252 nt
Filed under: uncultured bacterium
Lineage: Bacteria
Description: partial 16S ribosomal RNA
Rfam family: Bacterial small subunit ribosomal RNA
Source: RNAcentral